RNAcentral lists this ribosomal RNA (288 nucleotides) under uncultured Spirochaeta sp. RNAcentral's name for it is "partial 16S ribosomal RNA". It matches the Rfam family "Bacterial small subunit ribosomal RNA", at positions 1094 to 1382 of the family's 1533-position model. The record is from RNAcentral. Lineage: Bacteria; Pseudomonadati; Spirochaetota; Spirochaetia; Spirochaetales; Spirochaetaceae.
GAGCGCAACCCUACUCAUCUGUUGCCAGCAUUUAAGGUGGGGACGUCAGAUGAGACUGCCGGUGACAAACCGGAGGAAGUGGGGACGACGUCAAGUCAUCAUGGCCCUUAUGUCCUGGGCUACACACGUGCUACAAUGGCCGGUACAGAGUGAAGCGAAACCGCGAGGUGAAGCAAAACGCAGAAAGCCGGUCUCAGUACGGAUUGGAGUCUGAAACUCGACUUCAUGAAGUUGGAAUCGCUAGUAAUCGCGCAUCAGCAUGGCGCGGUGAAUACGUUCCCGGGCCUU